This 208-nucleotide ribosomal RNA is filed under the name uncultured Clostridium sp. RNAcentral describes it as "partial 16S ribosomal RNA". It matches the Rfam family "Bacterial small subunit ribosomal RNA", at positions 568 to 774 of the family's 1533-position model. The record is from RNAcentral. Lineage: Bacteria; Bacillati; Bacillota; Clostridia; Eubacteriales; Clostridiaceae.
AGCGUAGGCGGCAUGAUAAGUUAGAUGUGAAAGCCCGGGGCUUAACCCCGAGGAUUGCAUUUAAAACUAUCAAGCUAGAGUACAGGAGAGGAAAGCGGAAUUCCUAGUGUAGCGGUGAAAUGCGUAGAUAUUAGGAAGAACACCAGUGGCGAAGGCGGCUUUCUGGACUGAAACUGACGCUGAGGCUCGAAAGCGUGGGGAGCGAACA